AGUGAGCGCUGGCGGUAGGCCUAACACAUGCAAGUCGAACGGCAGCACAGUAAGAGCUUGCUCUUACGGGUGGCGAGUGGCGGACGGGUGAGGAAUACAUCGGAAUCUACUUUUUCGUGGGGGAUAACGUAGGGAAACUUACGCUAAUACCGCAUACGACCUACGGGUGAAAGCAGGGGAUCUUCGGACCUUGCGCGAUUGAAUGAGCCGAUGUCGGAUUAGCUAGUUGGCGGGGUAAAGGCCCACCAAGGCGACGAUCCGUAGCUGGUCUGAGAGGAUGAUCAGCCACACUGGAACUGAGACACGGUCCAGACUCCUACGGGAGGCAGCAGUGGGGAAUAUUGGACAAUGGGCGCAAGCCUGAUCCAGCCAUACCGCGUGGGUGAAGAAGGCCUUCGGGUUUUAAAGCCCUUUUGUUGGGAAAGAAAAGCAGCAGGUUAAUACCCCGCUGUUCUGACGGUACCCAAAGAAUAAGCACCGGCUAACUUCGUG
RNAcentral lists this ribosomal RNA (492 nucleotides) under uncultured bacterium. Its description in RNAcentral is "partial 16S ribosomal RNA". It matches the Rfam family "Bacterial small subunit ribosomal RNA", at positions 29 to 507 of the family's 1533-position model. The record is from RNAcentral.